Molecule: transfer RNA, 64 nt
Filed under: Megacopta distanti
Lineage: Eukaryota; Metazoa; Arthropoda; Insecta; Hemiptera; Plataspidae
Description: tRNA-Tyr
Source: RNAcentral
GAUAAAGUGGCUGAAUUUUAGGCAAUAAAUUGUAAAUUUAUUUAUGGUGUAUUACCCUUUAUCA